This 659-nucleotide ribosomal RNA is filed under the name Prorocentrum minimum. Its description in RNAcentral is "partial Bacterial large subunit ribosomal RNA". It matches the Rfam family "Bacterial large subunit ribosomal RNA", at positions 1900 to 2558 of the family's 2925-position model. Lineage: Eukaryota; Dinophyceae; Prorocentrales; Prorocentraceae. The record is from RNAcentral.
UGAAGCGGUGAAUUUAAGCCCCAGUAAACGGCGGUGGUAACUAUAACCAUCCUAAGGUAGCGAAAUUCCUUGUCGGGUAAGUUCCGACCUGCACGAAUGGCGUAAUGAUGGCCAGGCUGUCUCCACCCGAGACUCAGUGAAAUUGAAAUCGCUGUGAAGAUGCAGUGUAUCCGCGGCUAGACGGAAAGACCCCGUGAACCUUUACUAUAGCUUUGCACUGGACUUUGAAUUUGCUUGUGUAGGAUAGGUGGGAGGCUUUGAAGUGGGGACGCCAGUUCUCAUGGAGCCAUCCUUGAAAUACCACCCUGGCAACUUUGAGGUUCUAACUCAGGUCCGUUAUCCGGAUCGAGGACAGUGUAUGGUGGGUAGUUUGACUGGGGCGGUCUCCUCCCAAAGAGUAACGGAGGAGUUCGAAGGUUACCUAGGUCCGGUCGGAAAUCGGACUGAUAGUGCAAUGGCAAAAGGUAGCUUAACUGCGAGACCGACAAGUCGAGCAGGUGCGAAAGCAGGACAUAGUGAUCCGGUGGUUCUGUAUGGAAGGGCCAUCGCUCAACGGAUAAAAGGUACUCCGGGGAUAACAGGCUGAUACCGCCCAAGAGUUCAUAUCGACGGCGGUGUUUGGCACCUCGAUGUCGGCUCAUCACAUCCUGGGGCUGAAG